Molecule: ribosomal RNA, 274 nt
Filed under: uncultured bacterium
Lineage: Bacteria
Description: partial 16S ribosomal RNA
Rfam family: Bacterial small subunit ribosomal RNA
Source: RNAcentral
AUACGGAGGGUGCGAGCGUUAAUCGGAAUUACUGGGCGUAAAGCGUACGUAGGCGGUUGGUUAAGUUAGAUGUGAAAGCCCCGGGCUUAACCUGGGAACUGCAUUUAAAACUGGCGAACUAGAGUUGAGUAGAGGGGAGUGGAAUUUCAGGUGUAGCGGUGAAAUGCGUAGAGAUCAGAAGGAACACCAGUGGCGAAGGCGACUCCCUGGACUCGAACUGACGCUGAGGUACGAAAGCGUGGGUAGCAAACGGGAUUAGAAACCCGGGUAGUCC